Molecule: ribosomal RNA, 519 nt
Filed under: Chiropsalmus quadrumanus
Lineage: Eukaryota; Metazoa; Cnidaria; Cubozoa; Chirodropida; Chiropsalmidae
Description: partial small subunit ribosomal RNA
Rfam family: Bacterial small subunit ribosomal RNA
Source: RNAcentral
AAACUGGGAUUAGAUACCCUAUUAUUCUAAGCUGUAAAUGCUUCUGCUUUGGGGCUAUUAGUAACCAGAUUAGUAUAGCCAAAGGCUGAAAAUCAAAUUACUUGGCUGUUUGAGUUAAUCUGUUAGAGGAGUGUGUACCUUAAUACGAUAAUCCACGUAUAAUCUUAUCUGUUUUUGAUGGUUCAGGGGCUGCAUGGCCGUUGUGAAAACUGAUACUUUAGUUUUCUUUGUCUUUAGAAGCUAACAUCAGGUAUUAUGGCCCCUAUAAAUAGAGGUAGUAUGCACUACAUUAUUAAACCCAAUAUUAUAAUUAAUAUCGGUUUUGGGUGUGAAAUAACCCAAUUAAGGUGAAUUUAAUAGUAAUUGAUGAGUAGAGAGCCUCAAUGAAUGGAUAAUCUCAUAAGCACAAAUUGCCCGUCACCUUACUCCUUUAAAUUGACUUGUUAUCAGUAAUUUGUUAAUUGUAAAGAGAGUAAGUAAGUCGUAACAUAGUGAGGGGAGGGGAACCUCUCCUUGUAA